AAAAGCAUGAUUGGUAGACAGACCAACUCAGUGGGGUUAUAGAGUGAUCAGCCAAAUAAGUGGGAAUUUUAACAGUUCAGUGAUAUGUGUAUAUCUGCUCAUUUUAUCUCUUUCCAAAUGAUUAGUUCUUCAACCUCUGUUCCAGCUUCUCUUUAAAGGCAGUGAUUCUCCAAGGGAGAAUGCAUGCUGACCUUCUCUGAUGGGCCACAUCUUUCUCUCUGCAGUUUGCUCAGGUUGGACUGUGAUGUCAGCUUGCAGCCUUCAGCCUAUCAAAUUAGCACUGCUACGUGCUGUUUAGGUACUGUGCUGCAUCCCACAGGUCUGGCUGUUCUUCCUAGCAGUAAGAAGCCACUGCACCAGAAAGGCUACCUACGUGUUGGAGUAUGGGGUAGGUUUGUCUGAAGGAAUUCAGCAUGAUGAUGUGACUGAUCUAUGAUGGUCCCGUGUGCCCCCUGCCAUUUAAAUCCUGAUGGACGUAUAUCCCCACCACUAGAUAUGAAAUGGGGUUAGGAAUUUUGCUCUUCUUUCUCACGCUUUUAUGAGCAGCAUCUACCUCCAGGUGAGAAUUCACGUUGUAUGUACUAGCCAGGCAAUGAGUAGAGCAACUCAGCAUCGUCACUGUAGGUUUCUGUGAGCAUGCAGGGUGGGAGGGUGGCAGGGGCUGCUGGAGCUGGGCUGUUACCUUGGGAAUGGGGCAGCUGUAUAGACACAUAGGCUUAAGAACCAUGGCAUGGUGACCUCCGCUACCCAUAAAGUAAUUAAACAACAAAUACAGAUUUAACCAGUAUUAGAUAAUAAAUCAAGAGGAACUAGACUAAUUAUAUGGUGU
This 829-nucleotide long non-coding RNA is filed under the name Anas platyrhynchos platyrhynchos (common mallard). RNAcentral's name for it is "lncRNA (ENSAPLG00000018350.1)". The record is from RNAcentral. Lineage: Eukaryota; Metazoa; Chordata; Aves; Anseriformes; Anatidae.